Molecule: non-coding RNA, 22 nt
Filed under: Arabidopsis thaliana (thale cress)
Lineage: Eukaryota; Viridiplantae; Streptophyta; Magnoliopsida; Brassicales; Brassicaceae
Source: RNAcentral
ACACGGUGCGACAAGAAGCUGG